AACGAACGCUGGCGGCAGGCCUAACACAUGCAAGUCGAACGCCGUAGCAAUACGGAGUGGCAGACGGGUGAGUAACACGUGGGAACGUACCCUUCGGUUCGGGAUAACUCAGGGAAACUUGAGCUAAUACCGGAUACGUCCGAGAGGAGAAAGAUUUAUCGCCGAGGGAUCGGCCCGCGUCUGAUUAGCUUGUUGGUGAGGUAACGGCUCACCAAGGCGACGAUCAGUAGCUGGUCGAGAGGAUGAUCAGCCACAUUGGGACUGAGACACGGCCCAAACUCCUACGGGAGGCAGCAGUGGGGAAUAUUGGACAAUGGGCGCAAGCCUGAUCCAGCCAUGCCGCGUGAGUGAUGAAGGCCCUAGGGUUGUAAAGCUCUUUUACCCGGGAAGAUAAUGACUGUACCGGGAGAAUAAGCCCCGCUAACUUCGUGCCAGCAGCCGCGGUAAU
RNAcentral lists this ribosomal RNA (448 nucleotides) under uncultured bacterium. RNAcentral describes it as "bacterial SSU rRNA". It matches the Rfam family "Bacterial small subunit ribosomal RNA", at positions 29 to 524 of the family's 1533-position model. The record is from RNAcentral.